AUAGUUAGUAGCUUCUAAAGCUAUCACAGCUUUCUCUCUGGGAAAGCCCAUUGAAAGUAGUUCUUGUAACAAUUCGUUGUCGUUUUGGAUUGAUUCAUAACUUUGUGGGGGACUUUCAGGUUGGCUAACAUAAUUCAUUGGGGUAGAAGAGUUGGCAUGCGUAAGUGGUGCUGGAGGCAUCGAUGGCGAAAUUGAAGAUCUUACUGGUGGUGGUGGUGGGUGAUGUUUUACAGCAGGAGUGGGAGCAGGAGUAGGAGGAGCCGGUGUAACCUGUGGCUUUAUAGCAGGUGAGUUCACCGCUCCCGUACCCAUUGGAGACAUUGAGUCAGCUAUUAUACUAUCGAUUUUGGCUUGCAGUUUACGUAACUCUUUAACUGCCUGCUUUUUACCCAUGCCCACACUACCAAUUUGGGUGCUUAAUUGCUGGUCUGCUAUUAAGCUUUGAGAAAUCUGUUUUUGAGCUUCUUCUUUUAUUGCAUCCAACUCUUGAAGCUCUUCUCUAAGUAUCAUCAACCUCGUUUUCUUUUGCUCUAUUCUUUGCUUAAUGGUUUUGCCGCUCGUUUGAAUAGUUUCCAAACCAUAUUUGGUUGACUCAAUUUUCUCCUCGAGUUUUCUCAUUUCUUCUUGCUCUUCUUCAGUUGGCUCAUGAGCUGGUUCAUCCGGUUCUUCAAAAGGUGCCUCUGUUGUUUGUUGAUCAUCAAGAGCUGCAGAUGUAGAUCCUGGGAUAGUCGUUGCAAAAGAGGUAGGUAAUGGCACAGACUUUGACUCUUCGAUAGCGCUGAUAUUCUCAGGAGCUAUAUGAAUUGAUGUCUUGAUCUGUUCAAAGCUUCUCUCUUCUUGUUGGGGGGCAUUUUCUGAUACGGCCUCUUCUUCUUUGAUAUCUGUCAGCGAACUGUUGACCCCUCCUGGAAAGCCUGCCAUUUUUAAUGGAAUAGAUUGGGUCGUAGGAGGGAUUCCAAACAUUUGGCCUUGCGUUGAAGAGCCACUUUCAGUAUUUUGACUUAUAUCUGCAGUAUUGGCUUGAUUUUGUGUAGAUACUUGGUCUUGGAAAGAAGUGUUCUGAAAUGCAGAUUGUAAAUCUUCCAAAGAUGAAGAGGGAUUUUCAUGUAAAGACACUGCAGUGGGUUCAAAUGCAGCUGUAUCACUGGAGGCUAAUAGAUUCAAAGUGCUAUUUGGCUCAUUAUCAGCCACCGAUAGUGGAACAUUAGAUACAUUAUCGUUUGUAAAAGCUACCGGUACAGCAGUGCUAGCAUUGGUAUCAUCAGAAACCAGAUUUUGUUGCAUAGUUGGUUCAGUCGGGUUAUCGUCAUAUGCAAGUAUGCUUGCAAGAGAUUUACCUGAGAGUCGUAACUUUAUAAUUUCCAUAGCUACAGCGAAUUCAUCUUUGUCAAUAUAACCUCUAUCUUGAGUGUCGACUGUAUCCCAUAUACGAGCAAGCUCUUCAGAGUCUAAAUGAGAUGCCAUAAAAAAAGGUACCGCUUCACCGCCCACGAUAUAUCCUUUGUUUUCAUUGUCAAUCUUAGAAAAUAAUUGAUAAAAAUUAGACCGAUCUUCGGGAGUAAUUAAGGCUUUUAUAUUAGCUUGAGGAUCAAUUGUUUGUGGGGGUGAUGAGUACUUGUUGUCAACAGCAGAUUGAGCAUUAUUAUCUGCGGAAAUCUCAUCCAAUUUAGAAGACUUGGUAGAGGAUAUGCUUUGUUGAUGAGAGAGUUGCUCAGUAUUCACUAAAGAUGGCUGAGUAACACCUUGUUCAAUAUUUGUAUUCAUUGCUGGGGUUUCACUUUUUGCGGAUUCAAUAACAUCAGCGGGCAAAGAGCGUGGAAGAUGAAUCAAGUUGUAUUGUUUACAUAUUGCAACUAAAUGUCUUGCAAUAACGUAUUGAUACAUUUCAAGGUACCCAACAUGGGCAGAAUCAGCAAGAUUCCAUAUUUGAGCGAGUACGGCGUAAUGAAGUGAAGAUUUUAAAAGAAUAGGUUUUGCAAUUGAACUUGGCAUACAGCCUGGCCUUGCUGAAUCUUCAUGUCCUCGAAGAUUUUCACGAAACUCCUUUUCAUAUUCGGAACGCUCGUCCGGGUUAAUGGGGAUACGGAAAGGGGUAAAAUCAGCCGUUUCUGAAGAUGAACGCUUAAUAUGAUGGUCGUCUUUAGCUUGUUUUGGUAAAAUUGGAGGAUCUCCGGCUGAUUAAUGUUAGAAUAUAGCUAACUAUUAACGCAUUUUCAUACCUUUAUUAUAAUCUAGCUCUUGCAAAGUUGCUCCACGUUGAGCCUGAGAAAUUAAUCGAAAACAAGCAUAAACCUGAUUACGAUCAAGUGAUCCCUUAUCCUCUUGAUCACAAUAAUCCCAUAUCUAAUAAAUUGGCAGUUAGAUAUAUAUUUUUUCUUUUAGAAAGUGCAACGCUUUAAUUUAUAACAUUCCACUCUUAGAUUUAAACUCUAAACUUUAAGAGAUAAAAACUGCUAUCCCAAAGCUUUUGAUUGAGGAAUGAAUUAAACAUACCUUUGCUAAUAUCUUUUGAGGAAGACCAAACUUCAAAAGAAAAGGUCCAAUAACACUUCCUGGGAUUAAAUCUUUCUGUUCUGGGUGGAGAGACUCAAGCAAUCGGUCAAACUCCUGCUGUUCUAUAGGGGAUAACUGCAAAGGCUGCAUAUCCUAUUUAUGAAUAAAAAAAUAAUUGCGGAUAGUUAGAUGUUAACAAUUGUGAACUCUAACUCAAUAAAACGUUUCUGAUUUAAAACAAAUACAAGUCAUGAAAUUAAACCUAUCGGCGAAUGUAACCUUUUAUACAGAGAAAAUAACAAAAAAAAAGCGCCUCUUUAAAGCCAAACGUUUAAAGAAAAAUAAUAUGAAAUUUACGCAAACAGGGCUGGAUCGCGUAGAUAGACUGAAUUUUGGAAAAUUAGAAGCAAAGCGAUAAAGUCGGAUCUCAAAGGAAUAAAAAAUAGUCCGUUGAUUAAAUUUAAAAUACGCUAGUAAUUCUCUAAACUUCGUCUGCGCUUUUCAACAAUAAUCAGUUAAACCGGCGGUUGGUGGAGAGCAGUUAAUACUUGACAAGCAUAUCAUUUACAUCGCACCUCCUUAGUACGAUUUAUUUAACGAUAAGUAACACCGUCCACGUGCUGACCAGCCUAUUUGAAGAAUAACGAUAUCAUAGAGCUUACUGUAGGAUUAAUAAAAAUAUCAUCAAAAUGGGGAAAAAAUUGAAAGAUUAUGAGAAGUAUAUGAUUAUUAAAUAAAAUAAAACUUUUAAGAAUUGAUACUGAGUUUUGAUCUUUAAAUUUAGUGGAGAUACUCAUUAAACAGCCUUAUACCUAAAUGAAAACUGAAAGGUUUACUGCGUUUACCUAGCAUGCUUAGCAAUGAAUUAAAGGAUUGCUCAAUUACCUAGCUUUCUGAAUAUUACGCUAGCUUUCUACUCCCUUGCCAUUGUAAAAUACUUUUCUGGUCAUCCCGCUGCUUUUCAAUGAAACUGCUAUUCAUUGACAGCCUCUCAACAAAAGAUGGGUUUCUCAAAUUAAAUG
Non-coding RNA from Schizosaccharomyces pombe (fission yeast), 3515 nucleotides. NCBI's taxonomy places the organism in Eukaryota, Fungi, Ascomycota, Schizosaccharomycetes, Schizosaccharomycetales, Schizosaccharomycetaceae. The record is from the annotation of a GenBank genome assembly.